This 871-nucleotide long non-coding RNA is filed under the name Salmo salar (Atlantic salmon). RNAcentral describes it as "lncRNA (ENSSSAG00000110625.1, ENSSSAG00000117125.1)". The record is from RNAcentral. Lineage: Eukaryota; Metazoa; Chordata; Actinopteri; Salmoniformes; Salmonidae.
CUGCUAUCUGCCAAUCACGGGAAUGCCUGGAAUGUUCUGAUACCGGGUAGCCUGGUGGUUGGCGGAGUGGCGUGGGGGAUGGAGCAUUGGGCAGGGGGAUGGAGCAUUGGAAGUUAAGACCGGGUUUAGCCAUUGUUCUCUCUCUUACGUCUGUGCUUCACAAGAGAAGGCCACGGUUGGUUUAGGGAUCCGUUGGAGAGUGGCUUGGCCUUCCGCGUGGUUGACCUCACCAAGAGGUCCAAAUCGCAGCAGGUUCAACAACUCGUGGAGAAAAGCUCAGGAAAUAAAGAAAUGUUUUUUGGACUCAUGGGUCGAAGGUCCCCAAGUGGAGUCACAAGAGGAAUGGAACAAGCCCUAGUAUUACUAGAGAUGAGAUAUAACUUGAUUGUUCAAAGUUACUGGAAUAAUCAAUCUUGCUCAAAUUAUUCAUCUGGGUCAAAGCAAUCCAAUACAUGCAACAAAGUUUAAUUGAUGUAGCAUAAGUAAGGAAUGUGUAAUAAGGGUAAAUAAUUAUUUGACCCAUGUGUUUAAAAACUGGGGCAGGGAUUUGCUGCUACUAAUUGACAUUUUAUGUCUUCCUUAACUGUAUCUUUCUGUAUUCUCCUUUGCAAUACAAGCUGCUUGUCAUGUUCAAUCAAGUAUUUUUUUGUUGUUGCAUAAUAUUAGAUGGCUUGUUAUGCAUACAAACAGGUAUAUUUGUCUAACUUAAGAUAAUUCACACGAGAGCAUUACUGAACUUCAAGAUUCAUUAAUAUUUUCUGUGCUUCAUAUCAAAUACUGAUAAUUUGUCAGUGAACCCCUACACAUCUGUGGCAAUGGCUCAAUGCUGUUCAAAUUUCCUUAAUAAAAACAAUUUGUUCAAUCAAGUGCA